CCGGCGUUCCCAUGGCAACGGCAUAGGUGGGCCUCCGGGCAGAGGCCGCCUCCGUCAGCGGGGAAGAGCGGGGCUCCUGAGCCACAUGGGGAACUGAGACGUGCAACAGAGAAGCUGCCCGCUCUAGGUCUCACAUAGUGAGUCAGUGGUACAGCCUGGGAACAGCCUCCAGCCCCAAAACCCAGCCUUCUGUUUGAACUAUUACUUGCACGGAACUUGGAAGGAGGGUCACAGGUUGCAAGAGGGAAGACUUUGGACGGGACACCAAGAAUUCAGUACCUGUCUACAUGGCUGGAGAUUUCCCUAAAGUCAGAGCAUCUGUAAGCAGUUCUCUUAAUCAAGAGCUGGCUUAGUUUUUGAAAUAUGAACUUCUUAUACAUCACCACCAAGCACGCAAUACAUGAAACAAAUCACUAGCCGACAAUCCUUCCCCCAUUGUAUUUGUAGGUGUAGGCACUAAAGCAUACCGUUUCUA
Long non-coding RNA from Mauremys reevesii (Reeves's turtle), 475 nucleotides. RefSeq lists it as uncharacterized. The record is from RefSeq and is a predicted model, not a curated record. The transcript has 2 exons. NCBI's taxonomy places the organism in Eukaryota, Metazoa, Chordata, Testudines, Geoemydidae.